Molecule: ribosomal RNA, 454 nt
Filed under: uncultured bacterium
Lineage: Bacteria
Description: partial 16S ribosomal RNA
Rfam family: Bacterial small subunit ribosomal RNA
Source: RNAcentral
GACGAACGCUGGCAGCAUGCUUAACACAUGCAAGUCUACCUGAACUUCGGUGCUUGUGGCGGACGCGCGAGUGACGCGUAAAGAACUUGCCCCAGAGUAAGGUACAACUUAUGGAAACGAAUGCUAAGACCAGAUAUUAUGAUAUUAGGUCAGCGUAAAUUUAUGAAAGCUAUAUGCGCUGUGAGAGAGCUUUGCGUCCCAUUAGCUAGUUGGAGAGGUAACGUCUCACCAAGGCGAUGAUGGGUAGCCGGCCUGAGAGGGUGGACGGCCACAAGGGCACGGAGACACGGCCCUUACUCCUACGGGAGGCAGCAGUGGGGAAUAUUGGACAAGGGACCAAAAGUCUGGUACAGCAAUUCUGUGUGCAAGAUGACGUUUUUCGGAAUGUAAAGUGCUUUCAGUUGGGAAGAAAAAAAUGACGGUACCAACAGAAGAAGUGACGGCUAAAUACGUG